CCUACGGGGCGCAGCAGUGAGGAAUAUUGGUCAAUGGGAGAGAUCCUGAACCAGCCAAGCCGCGUGAGGGAAGACGGCCCUAUGGGUUGUAAACCUCUUUUGUCGGAGAACAAAACCCGGGACGUGUCCCGGACUGCGUGUAUCCGAAGAAAAAGCAUCGGCUAACUACGUGCCAGCAGCCGCGGUAAUACGUAGGGGGCAAGCGUUAUCCGGAUUUACUGGGUGUAAAGGGAGCGUAGACGGCCGUGCAAGUCUGAUGUGAAAACCCGGGGCUCAACCCCGGGACUGCAUUGGAAACUGCAUGG
RNAcentral lists this ribosomal RNA (305 nucleotides) under uncultured bacterium. RNAcentral describes it as "bacterial SSU rRNA". It matches the Rfam family "Bacterial small subunit ribosomal RNA", at positions 338 to 640 of the family's 1533-position model. The record is from RNAcentral.